UAGAAAAAUAUAUUUAUUUGUUAAAAAGAAAAAAGAAAUGGCGGGAAAUUUGGAUAGAACAAGGGCGGGCAUCGCUUAUCUCCAUACUCAUUUCCAGUCCAGCAACGGUCUUCCAUGGAUUCCGAUUCAGAUUCCGACGGUUCUCACGUCUCCAACACUCCCCCAAGAGUUAUCAAGCCUUCACCACCGGCACCGACAUCGGCACCGGUCUCGGCUCCUCCUUCACGGCGUACCCUUUUCUCCACUACCAAAUCCAAAAUCAAUGUAAAGGCCUCCUCUUCUUCUUCACACUCCAAAUCCGCUCCAAAGCCCAAAAGUUCUUCUCACAAGAAGUCUAAGGCACCUGAUCCGACCUCCGUUGAACCCGAGCAGACACCUCCCGAAGAACCAUUUCCCACUCUCUCCCCAAUUUUACCUUUCCAAAUCCGUAACCGGGUUUCCGAUCAGAGCCCGAUAUCUAUCGAGACCCUUCCUGCUGGGUUUUUCUCCAAGUCUGCGUCUUUCUCAAAAUUUCGACGUUCUAGUGUUAGUUUUGAUCCUAUUAAAGAUGAACCAUGUCCUCCUUUGGCGUCAAAUUUGCAACAAAAGGUUCAUAUUGGUGGGUCUGAUUGUGCAGAGACUGAUUGGACACUGCCAGAGCUCGAAGAUGAAGCAUCUGUUGGUUAUGGAAACACUGUGAAAGUUGGAAAGAGACAUUCCAAUUUGAUUGGAAGCAAUGAACCUAUGCCGCAGGUGAAAUUGCGAAAAUGUGGCAACGAAGGGAAUUUUGUGAAGUUGAAUUUGAAGCGAAAUAAGAAGUUUUUGAACAAGGGGAAAAGAGGAAAUAGUACUUCAUCAGGUGGCCGAAGAUUUUACAAGAAAUAUAAGAAAAAGUUUAAACCAGCAGGUGGGGGUGAGACGGAGGAGGGUGUUUGUGAGGAACAUGGUGUGUUUAUGGAGAGCUUAACGAAAGAAAAGGAGAAGCAGGAGGGGAAAAAAGCUAAAUUUGAUUGUGAAUCGAUUGAGGAAACGAUUUUGGCUGCUCGAAAUGAAUCUUCGGAAGAGAACUUGUUGAAGCUGUUGAGCCUAACUCAUGGUUAUGAUUCGUUCAGGGAAGGGCAAUUGGAAGCAAUAAAGAUGGUUCUAGAUGGGAAAUCAUCGAUGCUUGUUUUGCCAACUGGUGCUGGUAAAUCACUGUGUUACCAGUUGCCUGCAAUGAUUUUACCUGGGAUAACUUUGGUUGUUAGUCCAUUAGUUGCAUUGAUGAUUGAUCAGCUAAAACAGCUGCCUCCUAUGAUCCAGGGAGGUCUUUUUUGUAGCAGUCAGACACCCGAAGAAGUUUCUAAGACAAAGAUGUUGCUGCAACAAGGUCUCAUUAAGGUUCUUUUUGUUUCACCAGAAAGAUUUUUGAAUGCAGAAUUCCUGUCAAUAUUUUCUGGUACUUUACUCGUAUCACUUGUCGUUGUGGAUGAAGCUCACUGUAUAUCCGAAUGGUCUCACAAUUUCCGACCGUCAUACAUGAGGUUAAGAGCAUCAUUGCUUAAAGAGAAGCUUAAUGUCAACUGCAUUCUUGCAAUGACAGCUACUGCAACAACCACAACUUUACAUGCUGUUAUGUCUGCUCUUGAGAUUCCUCCAACUAGUCUCAUCCAAAAGGCCCAUUUAAGGGAUAAUUUACACUUGUCUGUAUCAUUGAGUAAAGAUAAAAUGAAAGACCUGCUAGCAUUGAUAAAGUCUUCUCCAUUCAAAGAAGUUCAGAGCAUCAUUGUAUACUGCAAAUUUCAGUUCGAAACUGACGUACUAAGCAGAUAUUUACGUGAUUACAACAUCUCUGCAAAGAGUUACCACAGUGGUAUACUUGCAAAAGAUCGUAGCCGAAUACAGGAAUUGUUUUGUACAAACAAGAUCAGAGUAGUUGUGGCAACUGUAGCAUUUGGCAUGGGGCUCAACAAGACGGAUGUUGGAGCUGUCAUUCACUACAGCUUGCCAGAAAGUUUGGAGGCAUAUGUUCAGGAGAUUGGGCGAGCAGGGCGAGAUGGCCGAUCAUCGUAUUGUCAUCUAUUUUUGGAUGAUGACACGUAUUUCAAGCUUCGUAGUCUUAUGUUCAGUGAAGGAGUUGAUCAAUAUGCAGUAGACAAAUUCCUUUCUCAAGUUUUCACCAAUGAUAAUAAAUCACAAGGGAAGAUCUUCUCACUUGUAAAAGAAUCCGCUUCUUGCAAACUCGAUAUGAAAGAAGAGGUGAUGUUCACACUUCUGACACAAUUGGAAUUGGGUGAAGUGCAAUACCUGCGUUUACUACCGCAGAUAAAUGUUACUUGUACCUUAAAUUUUCAUAAGGUGGGUAGAAAAUUCGUUAUAACCUCUGUUCACCUGGGAGUUCUACUUGCUGCGGGUGCUCUCAGAAGCUAUAAACAUGUUACCAAUGGCAGGAAUUAUAUAAAACAUUUGUCCUACUAUACACCUCCUGAUGUUCUUGCUGAAAGGGAUAUUGUUGUUGCUGAAAUUCUGAAAAAGUCUGAAAUGAAGCAAGGAAAGUAUGUGUUUGACAUACCAACUGUAGCGAAUAGCAUCGGAGUUAUGACUACUGAUCUAUCAAUUCAGUUACAGAAUCUGAAGUUCAAGGGAGAAGUAACAUAUGAGCUAAAAGACCAAGCCUUCUGCUAUACAAUUGUGCAAGUUCCUACGGAUCUUUGUUCACUGUCAGCGGUUCUUACAAAAUGGUUAUCAGAGGUUGAAAGUUGUAAGGUGUGGAAGUUUGAUGCAAUGUAUGAUGCGGUCGUAUUUGCUGUUAAUUCAUGCGAAAAGUUGCAAGGUUGCUGUGGUGCAGAGCACACACUAUGCUUACAAAAAAGAAUACUGGAUUAUUUCAACGAAACUGAUAAUAAUGAUCAUCCUAAUAAGAUGGGUCAAAGCAGCCCAUUUUUGCGAGCAGAUAUAAAAGUAUUUCUGCAGGGAAACUCACAAGUAAAAUUUACUCCCAGAUCUAUUGCAAGGAUAAUGCAUGGCAUUGCAAGUCCAGCUUAUCCAUCUACAAUGUGGUCAAAAACUCACUUCUGGGGAAGGUAUACACAAACAGAUUUUCAUGUUGUAAUGGAAGCAGCAAAAGCAGAACUAAUUAACUUGUCAGCAAAGACUCAACCUACCUCUUAACAAUCAAUCCCACAGUUUCAUAAAGGUGAUGAUAAUGUUAAAAAAUCCCAUCUGCUGAUUUAUUUCAACAAGUUAGCAAAAUAUUUAUAUGAUGCCACAGUUCAUUUGAAGCUUAGAAACAUGAGAUUUGACAUAUUUUGGUCAGCAGCAUAUAAAAACAGUACAAAUUACAAGUUAUGGGGGUUUCCUGAUGUAGUAGCACCCAAAUGAAGACUAACCAAACCUGUUACAACACAGAGAAAAUGGCUUCAAAUGUACAAGAAAUAAUUCAUAAUAAUAACAAAAGGAAUUAUUACAUUAUUAUCUUUUUUUCCUUCUGUUAAGUGUGUAAAUUUUGUUAUCAUUUUACAUAUCAUAUAUUCAGUCCAUACCAAUUUAUUGUCGUUUUA
Cannabis sativa is the source of this 3518-nucleotide RNA transcript. It is a transcript of the gene named ATP-dependent DNA helicase Q-like 5, with no coding region annotated. The transcript has 20 exons. The record is from RefSeq and is a predicted model, not a curated record. NCBI's taxonomy places the organism in Eukaryota, Viridiplantae, Streptophyta, Magnoliopsida, Rosales, Cannabaceae.